GCAUGAGAUGGAUAUUUAGAUUUAAAAUAAAAGACGUAAUGUACUACGAAAAGUUAUGAGUUAAUCAAUUAAAUUCAUAAAUUUCUUAAUAAGGUAAACUCCUAAAGUUGUUCUACAAAGGCCUAUUAUAUUAGCGAAAUGACACAUCUAAGUAGCUAGAAUAAAAAAUCAACCGAGAGUUCAUAAUUAGGUGGCGAGCCAACAUGAAUUAGAGAUAAAGCUUAAAAGGUAAUAGAAAAAUUAUGAAUGAUUUACUAUAAAAGGUUUUAGUCCUGUAUAUUAACCUUUAAGUAUAAAAAAAAUAAGAAAAUCAUUGACAUUUUCUAAAAACUGGGGUACCAUACCUCAACUCUAAUAUUAUUUUAUAAUCGAUAGCGAAAAGUACUGUGAAGGAAAAAUGAAAAGAAAGUUUAUUCAAAAACUUAUAGUGAAAAGACUUUGAAAUCUGAUGUAUUCAUUAGCUCAAAAUUUCGUUAGAAAAACGAAUUAACGAGGUUCCUUUUGUAUCAUGAGUCAACGACUUUAUAAUCGUAGCAAGCUUAAGUUGUUAAAUGUAAGCGUAGCAAAUACAUGUUUUAAAAAAGCUUUUUUUUAAUGAGUUGCGGUUAUAAUACCCGAAUUCAAGUGAUUUAGCCAAGAACAGACUAAAUAUAUAGUAAUAUAUGUGAGAAGGUCAAACUAAUGGUUGUUGCAAAAACCUUAGGUGAUUUUUGGCUCGGAGUGAAAGAUUAAUCAAACUUGAUAAUAGCUGGUUUUUUGCGAAAAAUAUUUAGGUAUUGCAUAAAUAAAUCUACAUAAUAAGUGGUAGAGCACUGUUUAAAUUAGGGGGAUUAAACUCUUACCGCAUUUAUAUAAACUCCGAAUACUUAUAUUUGUACUUUGUAGUCAGACUUUACGUGAUAAGAUGUAUAAGUCAAAAGGGAAACAGCCCAGAUUAAUAGCUUAGGUUUCUAAAAAAUAUGCUUAGUAAAAAGGUCGUAAAAAAAUUAAGAUGACUAGGAAGGUAAGCUUGGAAGUAGCUAUCCUCUAAAAAGUGUGUAAAAACUUACUAGUUGAAUUUAUAAUUAAAAAAUUUUUUUGCAUCGAAAAUUCAGAGAAUUUAAGCUAUUUGCCGAUGCUUUAAACUUUUAACUUUAUGUGAAAAGCAAACGAGUAUAAAAGUGGUAGCAAAACGUUUCUUUGUUCAUUAAAGGUACAUUGUAAAAUUUACUGAAGAAAAAGAAAGUGAGAAUGUUGAUAUUAGUAACGUGCAUAAUGUUAUAAACAUUAUUACCGUAUAAUUCAAGGUUUUUUCCGCAAUGUUUGUCAGCGGAAAAAUAAAGUCGAUUUCUAAAAAUACUUAAGCGAAAGCAGUUUUAAAUGGUAAUUUUUGAAUAAAAACUACUAAAAGACGACGCGUAAAUAUUAAAACAAAUAAAAACACAAUUUUUUGUUCGAAUUUAAUUUAACGUCAAGAAAUAAUCUUUUAUUUAUAUAAUUCGUACUUAGCCAACAAAGGAGAAUUUGUUUUAUAGAACAAAGGUAAUUGAGUUAAUCAUUCUUAAGGAACUAGGCAAAUUAAUUCUGUAACUUCGGGAAAAAGAAUACCUUAUACAAGGUGUCACAAAAUAACGAAUAGCGACUAUUUAACAAAAAUACAGGGUUUUGCAAAAUUGUAAAAUAUAGUAUAAGACCUGAAGCCUGCCCAGUGCUAGCAUAUUAAAUGUAAAAGUAAAUGCUGUUAAAUGAAAUACUAGUAAACGGAGGUCGUAACUCUAACGAUCAUAAAGUAGCAAAAUUCCUAGGCAAGUAAUUUUUGUCCUGCAUGAAUGGCUUAACGACUUUUCGACUGUCUCAAGAGUGAGCUCAGUGAAAUUAGAAUUUGUGUGAAGAUACACAAAAAUUAAAGUAAGACGAAAAGACCCUAUAGACCUUUACUAUAUUUUUACGUUGUUAUAAAAUUUUUCUUGUGUAGUUUAAGUGGGAGCAAUCACUUGCGUAACUGAAAGACCACUCGUGUUAAAAUUUUGAACUAAUUUAAAUUAAAAAAGCGUAAAAUUGGUAGUUUCGUUGGGGCGAU
Molecule: ribosomal RNA, 2059 nt
Filed under: Hemiselmis andersenii
Lineage: Eukaryota; Cryptophyceae; Cryptomonadales; Hemiselmidaceae
Description: partial Bacterial large subunit ribosomal RNA
Rfam family: Bacterial large subunit ribosomal RNA
Source: RNAcentral